Long non-coding RNA from Macadamia integrifolia, 1125 nucleotides. RefSeq lists it as uncharacterized. The record is from RefSeq and is a predicted model, not a curated record. The transcript is spliced from 3 exons. Lineage: Eukaryota; Viridiplantae; Streptophyta; Magnoliopsida; Proteales; Proteaceae.
GGUUGGCGUGAACAAAGAUAUGUCCCUCUUGGGCCUCGUUUGUUUCCUUCUAUCUUUUCUCUCAUAUCAUCCUUCCCUGACCUACAAACCAAUCCCUUAAGCUGAACCCACUCUCUAAAACAUAAAAGCUUCUGUAAUCAUUUGCAAAAUCCCUCUAAUUUUCCUCUAUUCUCUUUGUUUGUGGGAAGUACUACAUGACCAAGUUAUUUAUAGCUUUUGUUUCAUGUCCUUUAGUUUGUGAUUCUAGUUCCAAACCCAUAUAGUUCUAGAGCUAGUCAUGGCAUGUUUGAAUUUAGAUAGCAGAGAGGAUAUAUAGAGAGAGGAUUUAACGUUACUUAUCUGCAGAUUCUGCACUCCUGGCGGCGACGGCGCAAAAUAAGUGCACUGCACUAGUGUGCUCUUGUUAUGCACCAGCAAGCAAGCACCCAGGGAACAAAGGUGAGCAGGUUAGCGUCAGAAGUGACAACAGCAGGGAAACCAGUAAGAACUUGUCUGGUACAGAGAUUAAUAGAGAUGGUAAUGAUCAAUCAGAAGGUCAUCAAGAGGAGAGAAAUGGUUCCACUCACAGUAGUAGCAAUGAGUCCCAAGGACCUUGCUUUGUAACCCCCCUUCCUCUUAAGAGUAAUCUCAAGAAGACUACAGUGGUAGAGGAGAAUCAACUGAGAAAUAGUAGAAAGGUUAGUUGGCCUGAUGCCCAUGGAAAAGAUCUUGCCCAGGUUCUAGUGUAUGACUCAAGUGUACUGGAAAAGGGGGAGCUUGGGGGAGUGAAGAAUUCUUGCAUUUGUGCUAUUCAGUGAAAAAAGAAAUUAAAAGAAGCAACCAAGACAGACUGGUGAGCUUGAGGCAUAAAGAAUCCAAGGUAUUACAGUCAUGAAAGAUGUACAACACAGAUUUUGCAAGUUUUAAUGCAUAUUGAGCUUCAGGCAUGUCAUCUGUUCAUGUAACCUAUAAAGAGAGGUCACUUGUUUUCAGUCAGAAUCAGAGAAUUGUUUCAAGAUUACAUACUUUGUCCAAUGUUGUCCAAGAUCUUCCACAAUGUGGUGAUUAUGGUGGCUACUUACACCCACUAGUCCAAAAGCCUUGUUCCAUCUCUUGACAAAGAAAUGAAUAGAAAUUUUGAGUUCA